Molecule: long non-coding RNA, 986 nt
Organism: Daphnia pulicaria
Lineage: Eukaryota; Metazoa; Arthropoda; Branchiopoda; Diplostraca; Daphniidae
Exons: 2
Source: RefSeq, a predicted model, not a curated record
ACAAGAAACCACCCCAAUUAUAUCGAGACGAACACAGACUGCCAGGCUUGUGUUCGGACUUUGAAAGCACAGGGGAAUGUAUAAGAAGAAGAGCCGGGGGAUCUGCCGGAGGACUUCCGUUAAUGAAAAGAUGUUUGAUUUCAGAAAAACCGUGAUCCUUUGCCAAGAAACUUGGGGCUGUGACGAUAUCGAUUGAUCGACAGUUUUGGACGCACUUUCCGGCCAUUUUCUUUUCGUAUAGGUACUACUAUAUACUACAUCUAUAUAAUAGCACUGGCUUCUUCCCUAGCUCCUUUUUUUUUCCUUCUUUUGCUUUCGUCGUUCGGUGUAUUUGGCAAAAGCCACCAUCAAUGCCGAUGCCAUGGCGCGGUUCCAUCCCAUUAUCGUUUUCCACAUUCUCCCGAUUUUAUAGGAAUAAUCUUACGCCAUAUAAAAUCUCCCUUCUUCUUCUUCUUCUUCUGCUUCUUUGUCCAACGUAUUACCGAGUCCGAACAGGGUUUUUUUUCCCAACGUGAAAAAAAAAAGCAAUUCACGCAAACUACUAUAAUAGGAAGAAGAAAAAAGGAACAGUAAGAAAUGGCUCUGGCGUGUCACGACGUGCCGAGCUCUGCACAAUCGUCGGCUAAUUUGAUCACAAAGUAUUUUGAGAGAGAGAGAGAAAAAUUACACGAGAGAUUGUCGCCAGGGCGUGGCCCUAUUAUGCCCUUCUUCUAGGUCUUUGAGAGUAGAUAAUAAGCAGCUGAGUGCGUAGAUAAGCGACAAAAUCACGGAUAUGCUAUACUUUGCGAAAUCAAGUCAUUCUAGACCCGAAAAGUGUGUGAUUCGUUUCUUCUUUUGAGUUGGACGUUGGAGUUGCUGGACCGAUUCGUUCAGAUUAUUCCAGUCACGUCGAUUCGACAAGUCCGCAAACGCCAAUAAUUUGUCUUCCUUCUUUUUCUUUUUUCUUUCCCCCGGCUUUGUUGAUUCAAUAAAGAAAAUUGAGUUUA